Molecule: ribosomal RNA, 220 nt
Filed under: uncultured Glomus
Lineage: Eukaryota; Fungi; Glomeromycota; Glomeromycetes; Glomerales; Glomeraceae
Description: partial small subunit ribosomal RNA
Rfam family: Eukaryotic small subunit ribosomal RNA
Source: RNAcentral
CCAAUAGCGUAUAUUAAAGUUGCUGCAGUUAAAAAGCUCGUAGUUGAAUUUCGGGACCGAUGUGUCGGUCGUGCCUCGGUACGUACUGGUAUUUUCGGUUUCUCCCUUCUGACGAACCUUGAUGUCAUUAAUUUGGUGUCUUGGGGAAUCAGGACUGUUACUUUGAAAAAAUUAGAGUGUUUAAAGCAGGCUCACGCUUGAAUACAUUAGCAUGGAAUAA